CUUUGAUGAGCUGCACUACUGGACUGGAAAAAUAGUUGGGUCUUUUCCCUCCUUAUGGCAACAAUGAUGACUUUAGAGGAUCAGUUCCUAACAGGAAGAGGAAAGAAAGGAAAGCUUCUGUCUGAUUUCCUGCUGUGUGAGGGGCACAGCCUUGAGGAAUGAGUCUCACUGCCUUCCUGGGAGUCAUGGCCAAUUGAAAAUGCAGACAGAACUGUGAUGCAGGAAACACAGCAAGAGGAGUGACCACCAAUCCCACUAUUCUGAGCUGCUGAGCAUCCACCUGGAAUGUGACAGAGUUUCUAGUUUAGAACAGGAUGCAAGAGCAGACAAAAGGUUGGCCUCACUCUGUUACCUGCCAUGAGAUCUGCAAGAUGCCACUCAUUGUGCAGGAGGAAUUUAAAAUCAAGAGCCACAGCUAGGAGAGGAAGAUAAGUAUAUGACUGACCUUUAGACCUUCAAGAUAUGUUGAACAUAAAUGUGUGUAUGCACAUAGGGCCAAUUUAAAUAUAGUAAACUGGCUGACAGCUCUGGCUUCAGCUCAUCCUCCUUACUUAAUGCAGUACAGCCCUUAUACUGGAGAAUCUUGAGAUGCAAACACCCCUGAGCAGAGGGAGGUCAGCUCUCAGCCUCUCUGCUCAAGCCAGAUGAGACCAAAAGCCCUGAUACACACUGCAAAAGUCUGGGUGCAGAGACACCAUUGUGUCUGAGGUAUAAGUGUGUCCCUGUUUUACAGAGUGGGCAGUUUGUCCUUGCAUCCCCAGCCACCAAGAGCCCCACUGAGAUAAAGGGGUUUUGCCUGUGCCUGGAGAGAGAGAGGGACAGAACUGUUUAACAGCACAUGACAGUGACUAGCCACAGCUUGUGCUCAUUUCACACAGCUGAGGCUUUUUUAAAAAAGGAUUAAGAGUGUCCAAACCCCAAACAAUGCGAGGGCCUGCUUCAAUACGCCUGGAAGAUUAUUCCAGCUGUUUGGGGCUGGGCACCUAAAAAAGCAGAGCUUGCCUCCCAUAGUUAGUGGAGCUCCAGACACUUGGACAUGAAUAGCUUGGUUUAAGCAGAGGGCAGACUGGUAGCUAGUGCCAGAAAAAAGGAUACAAAACAGCACUGUAAAUGAGAAAUGAACAAUUAUAAACCUUUAAAAUACCCUUCAGGAAACCCAUGGCUGCUGUCUGCUGCUAGCUGCUGGAUCUUUUGUUCCGCUUACAGAUUUUCAUCCUUUUAUUUUCUCUUUUUUUUUUUCUUAUGAGGACAAACCCUGGCUGUAUAUACAGCAUAGCCUGCUACAGCCAGACUGGAGGCCAUGGGAAGCAGUGGUGCCUCUGGCUGCUGUUCUGGCAGCCUCCUGAGCCAGGGGCAGGGAACCCACGGGGACAGCGUGUUCCCUGCUGGCUGCGCUGGAAGCUUCAAAACAUGUUUAUGCCAAGUCAGCAAGAACCGCCCAGAUUGGUCAUGCCACGGAUCUCUCUCCCUUUCCAGGCUGCUGAAAGGAGCUGUGUCAAAGUCCAAGCCCACAUUUAAGUCUCUUCCAGGUGUUACCUGCAGUUGGCUCCUGCCUGCCCAGAGUCACUUACCCACCAUCUCACCAAUGCACCCAUGUCACCUGAAAGUGAAGGGCAAACAGGGCUGCCUCUCUGCCCCUCUUCCUGCUCAGUGGCAGAAAGGGCAGCUCUCCCUGUGCUCAAGUGACUUCCAGCAACUGGGCAGAACUCAGUGCCUUUUGAUAUCAAACCCUUCCAAACUCACAGCACGGCCAGGCAAGAGCAGAUAGUGUGUCCUGGUCAGCUGAAAAAGGAGUCAUUCCCCUUGAUCUUCCACAGGCAGGAUGCACCCCCUGUCAAAGGCUUAAAGGGACACCAAGUGCAUGACUGAAGUACCUCUCUGAAGCAUGGAGGAGCUGUGUGGGGGGCCCUGCAAGAGGGAACCAUGGCAGCUGUAGCACAGCAUGUCAAGUACUUGGUGGAGUUUCAAUCAGCUGGAAAUUAAAGCAGGAGAGAGUUGGGAUAUGGAGACCUCCAGCAUUCAGCUCUCUGCAGCAGUGUCAGGGUCUCUUGGAUGCCUCCAUCCAGGCUUGCUAAUGCCACCUGUCUGCCUGGGAAGGGGCUGGGCAUACGUUUCUUUGCCCACUGUUGAGGUUCCCUAAAGUGCAGGAGAAAAUGUUUGGGUUUGCCUUGAACUUGCAGUCCCUGCAGGGGAAAGCUGCUUGCACAGAGGGGCUGCAGCCCACACUGGUGGCUUGUGAGUCCUUGGUGCCAGGAACAGGCCUAUGGGUGUGCCUGGGGGGGAAGAGCACACAGGAACGUUGUGACCAAAGGGAGUCUUGUGUUCAUAAUAACGCUGCCAGCUUCAAGUACCACGGGUCAUCGUUCACAGCCCUCAAAAUGCAGAUUCAAGUUGCUAAGAAAACAAUGUUUAAUCCUCUCAUUUAACAUUAGAUUUCUUAUUUUGUUUUUCUCCUUUGCCGUUGAACUUCACCUCCAAAUGUGCAUGGCAACUGUCCCAGGUUGAUUGAGACAUUCACCAUUCACCAUGUGAAAACCAACAAUAUCAGUUCUAAUUCUACUGCCAGUUCUCCCCUUUCUCAGUUCUUCCCCCUACACCAUGUGGAUAGACUGAGCUCCUACCUCUCCUCUGCACAGCUCCCUGACACAUCUGCCUGUUUCCUUCCACUAGGCUGAACUGUCUUGGCCAGGGAAGGGAGCAACCACUGCUCCAGUGGCGCAAAAGGAAGCUUCCAGAAAUAAAUGGCUUUGUGAACAGAGGCUUUGCUGAUAGACUUCAGACCUUUAGAGCAUCCUGGUGUCACUAGAAGCCAAGCAAAGUGUAGUUCAGAGCUGCUGCUGCCACUACAAGGUGUGCUCACCAUGGAUACAGGCUGACAGCAUGCCCUUGAGUUCAGGACAGCCAUGCACCUUUCCCCAGAAGGGAACUUGGAAACAGCAGGACAGACUCACCUGAGAGCUGGCUCAGCCAUUGGGAGGUGGAUUCAUCCAAUCUGAUGCGGCUUUGAAAAUACAGAAGCAUGAUCAGCAAUUAUAUGGCGGUGUGAAACUUCAGGACAUCUCACAAAAUCACAGAAUCACAGAAUCACAGAAUCACAGAAUCUGCUGAGUUGGAAGGGACCCACAAGGAUCAUGGAGUCCAACUCCUGUCCCUUCACUGGACCAUUUCCAAGAGCCACAACAAGAGCCUGAGGGCAUUGUCCAAACACUUCUUGGACUCUGUGAGUCUUGCUGUUGUGACCGCUUCCCUGGGGAGCCUGUUCCAGUGCCCAAACACCCUCUAGGGCAAGAACAUUUUUCUAAUAAAUCUUAA
Molecule: long non-coding RNA, 3312 nt
Organism: Serinus canaria (Common canary)
Lineage: Eukaryota; Metazoa; Chordata; Aves; Passeriformes; Fringillidae
Exons: 5
Source: RefSeq, a predicted model, not a curated record